RNAcentral lists this ribosomal RNA (298 nucleotides) under uncultured bacterium. RNAcentral describes it as "partial 16S ribosomal RNA". It matches the Rfam family "Bacterial small subunit ribosomal RNA", at positions 28 to 320 of the family's 1533-position model. The record is from RNAcentral.
GACGAACGCUGGCGGCGUGCUUAACACAUGCAAGUCGAGCGGGAUCCAACCGGUGGCAACACCGGGGAAGAUCUAGCGGCGAACGGGUGAGUAACACGUGAGCAACCUGCCCCGAAGACUGGGAUAACACCGGGAACCGGUGCUAAUACCGGAUGUCGUCAUUAGGCCGCAUGACCUGAUGAUGAAAGGAUUCAUCGCUUCGGGAGGGGCUCGCGGGCUAUCAGCUUGNGGUGGGUAACGGCCUACCAAGGCGACGACGGCUAGCUGGUCUGAGAGGACGACCAGCCACACUGGGACU